This 253-nucleotide ribosomal RNA is filed under the name uncultured bacterium. RNAcentral's name for it is "partial 16S ribosomal RNA". It matches the Rfam family "Bacterial small subunit ribosomal RNA", at positions 524 to 776 of the family's 1533-position model. The record is from RNAcentral.
UACGUAGGCAGCGAGCGUUGUUCGGAGUUACUGGGCGUAAGGGUGUGUAGGCGGUUGUUUAAGUUUGGUGUGAAAUCUCCCGGCUCAACUGGGAGGGUGCGCCGAAUACUGAAUGACUUGGAGUGCGGGAGAGGAAAGUGGAAUUCCUGGUGUAGCGGUGAAAUGCGUAGAUAUCAGGAGGAACACCUGCGGUGUAGACGGCUUACUGGACCAUCACUGACGCUGAGGCACGAAAGCGUGGGUAGCAAACAGG